RNAcentral lists this microRNA precursor (98 nucleotides) under Eutrema salsugineum. The record is from RNAcentral. Lineage: Eukaryota; Viridiplantae; Streptophyta; Magnoliopsida; Brassicales; Brassicaceae.
AGAAUGAGAUUGAGCCAAAGAUGACUUGCCGAAUAGACGAACGAAUCUCAAGUGAUUUUGGUGUCCGGCAAGUUGACUUUGGCUCUGUUUCCUUCACU